This 460-nucleotide ribosomal RNA is filed under the name Cladosporium cladosporioides. Its description in RNAcentral is "eukaryotic LSU rRNA". The stretch from base 115 to 268 matches the Rfam family "5.8S ribosomal RNA". The record is from RNAcentral. Lineage: Eukaryota; Fungi; Ascomycota; Dothideomycetes; Cladosporiales; Cladosporiaceae.
GUUGUCCGACUCUGUUGCCUCCGGGGCGACCCUGCCUUCGGGCGGGGGCUCCGGGUGGACACUUCAAACUCUUGCGUAACUUUGCAGUCUGAGUAAACUUAAUUAAUAAAUUAAAACUUUUAACAACGGAUCUCUUGGUUCUGGCAUCGAUGAAGAACGCAGCGAAAUGCGAUAAGUAAUGUGAAUUGCAGAAUUCAGUGAAUCAUCGAAUCUUUGAACGCACAUUGCGCCCCCUGGUAUUCCGGGGGGCAUGCCUGUUCGAGCGUCAUUUCACCACUCAAGCCUCGCUUGGUAUUGGGCAACGCGGUCCGCCGCGUGCCUCAAAUCGACCGGCUGGGUCUUCUGUCCCCUAAGCGUUGUGGAAACUAUUCGCUAAAGGGUGUUCGGGAGGCUACGCCGUAAAACAACCCCAUUUCUAAGGUUGACCUCGGAUCAGGUAGGGAUACCCGCUGAACUUAAG